This 86-nucleotide ribosomal RNA is filed under the name Lysidice rhodostegia. RNAcentral's name for it is "partial 26S ribosomal RNA". It matches the Rfam family "Eukaryotic large subunit ribosomal RNA", at positions 1 to 82 of the family's 3401-position model. Lineage: Eukaryota; Viridiplantae; Streptophyta; Magnoliopsida; Fabales; Fabaceae. The record is from RNAcentral.
GAUGUGACCUCAGCUCAGAUAGGGCUACCUGCUGAGUUUAAGCAUAUCAAUAAGCAGAGGAAAAGAAACUAACAAGGAUUCCCUUA